This 465-nucleotide ribosomal RNA is filed under the name Vreelandella stevensii. Its description in RNAcentral is "partial 16S ribosomal RNA". It matches the Rfam family "Bacterial small subunit ribosomal RNA", at positions 338 to 795 of the family's 1533-position model. Lineage: Bacteria; Pseudomonadati; Pseudomonadota; Gammaproteobacteria; Oceanospirillales; Halomonadaceae. The record is from RNAcentral.
CCUACGGGUGGCAGCAGUGGGGAAUAUUGGACAAUGGGGGGAACCCUGAUCCAGCCAUGCCGCGUGUGUGAAGAAGGCCCUCGGGUUGUAAAGCACUUUCAGUGAGGAAGAACGCCUGGUGGUUAAUACCCAUCAGGAAAGACAUCACUCACAGAAGAAGCACCGGCUAACUCCGUGCCAGCAGCCGCGGUAAUACGGAGGGUGCGAGCGUUAAUCGGAAUUACUGGGCGUAAAGCGCGCGUAGGUGGCUUGAUAAGCCGGUUGUGAAAGCCCCGGGCUCAACCUGGGAACGGCAUCCGGAACUGUCAAGCUAGAGUGCAGGAGAGGAAGGUAGAAUUCCCGGUGUAGCGGUGAAAUGCGUAGAGAUCGGGAGGAAUACCAGUGGCGAAGGCGGCCUUCUGGACUGACACUGACACUGAGGUGCGAAAGCGUGGGUAGCAAACAGGAUUAGAUACCCCUGUAGUA